GUUGUCAAAACAAGGGUUGAUUGUUUAGGUAAUCUAAAGUAAAUCAUCUGGUCUGAUGGACGAACGAAACUCACUGGAGUCUAUGGAGGAGCGGUCAGAGUUGAUGGUUGAACUGGAACAGAGGACAUCAGGAAGUUGGAGCAGAAAGUUGGAUUAAAAUCAUAAAGACCUAGGCUCGCCGGAGACGGUGAGAAGCUGGUGGAGGUUUCGGAGCUCAGUCCGUUGGUACCAUGCGGAUCUACUUGAACGGAAGCGUCGCCGGAAGUUUGCCGGAAGAGAAACUAAAACUAUGGAGAUAGAGAGAUCUGGUGUUGAGACGCUAUAGCUCACGAAAGAUAUCACGGCAACGUUGAUUAAUUAUCAUCAAGAGUCAAGAAGGAAGACAAAGGUUCGUGAUCUCCAAUGUCUCCAACGAGAAAGAAGAAGAUACGGGAGGAGAUGAAGUCAGUUGGGCCACAAGGUGGAGAUUGUUGAAGAUGGGCCCAACU
RNAcentral lists this long non-coding RNA (488 nucleotides) under Brassica napus (rape). RNAcentral describes it as "long non-coding RNA (BNAP_LNC024452)". The record is from RNAcentral. Lineage: Eukaryota; Viridiplantae; Streptophyta; Magnoliopsida; Brassicales; Brassicaceae.